GUUCUGAAGCUGCGCUGUGGAUUUUUAAGCCGCUUUUUGAAAAUUCAGUAGGGAAUAUUUUACAAGCCGUGCAGAAGAUAUUUCCGCAUGCAGAUGUUGCGCUAAAGAAGGCCCAACAGCAAGAUUCUUGGACACUUCAGAUGACUCCUACUGGACAUUCUCAGGUAGACCAGCAACAGGAGCUCUUGUGACCAGGCCAAUUGCAAAUGAAGUCACUUGUUAACCAAUGCCAACGAAAACAAUGACGUGGAAGGACAUAGAGAUUGUGAAGUACUGAACCUAGAAUGCAGUGUGACUGUUUAGUGUCCACACCUGGUGUAGAUUUCUGUAGGCUACCGUUUGCUUUUGGUCAGCUGUAGUUUAGGAGACAGAUGCUUUGCCUAAUGCUGAAGGUCAAAGGCCUUGUUGAAUUUUCAGAUAGCGCACUGACGACCUGCUAGUACUAUUGGUUAUGAAUGUUGUUUUAACAAUUGGUAUGAUGGGUUUGAGGGCUUUUAUUGGGGGCUUUUUUUAAUUUAUUUUUUUGCACGCUUUGAUGUAUUAGGAACCGGAAAAGGAUCUUUAUUUCUUGCAGUGAUGAUUUUAAACCUGAAGUUAGCAGGUUGACAUAAAGUAGCUAGCCACGGAUAAGCGACUACGGAAAUUGCUUCAAAAUGCAGUAUUAGAAUUUCCCAUGCAUGCUAUUGCAGUGUAAUAAGGGUUUGC
Molecule: long non-coding RNA, 705 nt
Organism: Oxyura jamaicensis (ruddy duck)
Lineage: Eukaryota; Metazoa; Chordata; Aves; Anseriformes; Anatidae
Exons: 3
Source: RefSeq, a predicted model, not a curated record